RNAcentral lists this ribosomal RNA (467 nucleotides) under uncultured bacterium. RNAcentral describes it as "partial 16S ribosomal RNA". It matches the Rfam family "Bacterial small subunit ribosomal RNA", at positions 29 to 507 of the family's 1533-position model. The record is from RNAcentral.
ACGCACGCUGGCGGCGCGCUUAACCCAUGCAAGUCGCACGGAAAGGCCCUGCUUUUGUGGGGUGCUCGAGUGGCGAACGGGUGAGUAACACGUGAGUAACCUGCCCUUGACUUUGGGAUAACUUCAAGAAACUGGGGCUAAUACCGGAUAGGAGCUCCUGCUGCAUGGUGGGGGUUGGAAAGUUUCGGCGGUUGGGGAUGGACUCGCGGCUUAUCAGCUUGUUGGUGGGGUAGUGGCUUACCAAGGCUUUGACGGGUAGCCGGCCUGAGAGGGUGACCGGCCACAUUGGGACUGAGAUACGGCCCAGACUCCUACGGGAGGCAGCAGUGGGGAAUAUUGCACAAUGGGCGGAAGCCUGAUGCAGCAACGCCGCGUGCGGGAUGACGGCCUUCGGGUUGUAAACCGCUUUCGCCUGUGACGAAGCGUGAGUGACGGUAAUGGGUAAAGAAGCACCGGCUAACUACGUG